CCAAAGGCGCCACCUCCUAAUACAAUCAUCAUGGAUGCCAGGAUUUUAAUAUAUGAAUUUUUAGGAGGAACACAAAAUUCAGUGUAUUGCAACUAAUUUUGCAAAUAUUGGCUGAUUGGCAGUUUCUCCACUUUUAAUGCCAUUCAUUGGCUCAUGCUGCCUAAGGAGUCUUGUGGCUUUUGCUCUUUUUUGCUUUAUCUGCCCAUUUGUCAAUUUUCUGCAAGCCUGGUGGAGACCAAGCAACUCAAUCAGCUCUUCCUCUUCCUAUUGCCCUCAGAGCACCUCCUAGUGGCAAAAAGCAGGCAUUGUAAUCCCAGCAAGGCUUUUGAAAUUUGCUUCUUUCAUCCAUUUAUUUAGUUAUUGCCUGCAAAUGUUUCAACGAUAAUGUAAUGAUCCCUCUGCUGUCCAAAGACCAUGGUUGACCACAGGUAAUUGAAACCCUGGAAGGUGAAACUGCAGAUAAGGAGGACUACAGUGUUCAACUAUUUACAAAUAAUGACAGUGGCCACAAAGAUUACCUUGAAAAGAGACCGUGAGACAGUUUCACACAGACUGUGCCUGGAUUUCCAUGAGUCUCUGCCAACUGCUUUUUAAGAGGUUUGUUGGCAGGAAGUGUCUUGGUUUUCUUGAUGGCAGAGAUAAAGAAAAAAAGAAAAAAAACAAACGUGAAAAAUUCCAAGGAUCAAUUUGCUAUUCAGUUUGGAAAAUAGUUAUUUACAAGAAGCACUGUGGCAUCUACAAGAUCUUGCUACCUCACCCAACUACUCCCUCCCUAAUCCAAAAAAAUGAGAGAAACCCAUUGCAGUCUGUGGUUGGGGUUGAUUAAACAUCCCUUGGGGCCCUAAUGCCCUCGAAAUGAUGUGAAAUCACUGGGUUGUGUAUCAAAAGGGCAGGGUGAGCUCCUGGCUCAUCUGACUUUAAUCUCAAAUGGCUCCACACUGGUAGUUGAGAACAGACAAUUACUUCAUUAACUUUUGGAAAGUCUGAGGCAUUUGUGUUGCUUUCUGGACUGUGCUCUGCUACAGGGAGAGAAAAGACGAGGUCCAACGAGGCCAUUCAUGCCUGCCAAGUUUUCCUUUCUUUCCAAUCCAGGAAACAUACAUUGGUAGUGGGUAAGAUCCAAUAUUUUAUAAUGCUAAGACAGAGAGACUCACCCACUGAACAGCCCAGAGUGAAUAUUCCCCAAGUCUUGGCUGGCAUGUAAGCCCAGAAUCUUCACCCUUACUCUCAAACCUUUUGCCACCUCUAUCCAAGAAUUAUUUUUAAUAAUGUCAUGUUCUCUUCUUUCCCUUAAAUAAAUCCACUCAUAUAUGAAA
Molecule: long non-coding RNA, 1316 nt
Filed under: Homo sapiens (human)
Lineage: Eukaryota; Metazoa; Chordata; Mammalia; Primates; Hominidae
Description: HSALNT0403530
Source: RNAcentral